RNAcentral lists this ribosomal RNA (252 nucleotides) under uncultured bacterium. RNAcentral's name for it is "partial 16S ribosomal RNA". It matches the Rfam family "Bacterial small subunit ribosomal RNA", at positions 524 to 776 of the family's 1533-position model. The record is from RNAcentral.
UACGUAGGGGCCAAGCGUUGUCCGGAUUUAUUGGGCGUAAAGAGCUCGUAGGCGGUUCGGCAAGUCGAAUGUGAAAUCUCCACGCUCAACGUGGAGGGGUCAUUCGAUACUGCCGUGACUUGAGUACGGUAGGGGAGUGGAAUUCCCGGUGUAGCGGUGAAAUGCGCAGAGAUCGGGAGGAACACCCGUAGCGAAGGCGGCACUCUGGGCCGAUACUGACGCUGAGGAGCGAAAGCGUGGGGAGCGAACAGG